Molecule: long non-coding RNA, 505 nt
Organism: Pyrus x bretschneideri (Chinese white pear)
Lineage: Eukaryota; Viridiplantae; Streptophyta; Magnoliopsida; Rosales; Rosaceae
Exons: 2
Source: RefSeq, a predicted model, not a curated record
GUACCCAUAUUUAAACCCCUCUCUUUCCCAUUUCAACCGUGCUUUCAUUUCUCCCCCAAUUUCAGACUUUCUUCUUCUCCUUCCCCAUUUCAUCUGUGCGUCCCCUUCUUCCUCGUUUUCAUUUUUUCCUCAACUCCUUCCCCGUUUGCUUUGGAUCACCAGUUUGAAGAUCAACAUUCUGAAGAACUCCAAUUCGAGGAGGAAGAGCUUGAAGAGCAAGGACACUGGAAAUCGCAGAUCCAUAAUUUUUUAAAGGUAUAAAACCUGAGUUUAAUCUAUAGAGAUUAGAGCCUUAAUGUUGAAGUAGUAAAGUAUUGGAGCACUGAUCUGAUGGCAAGCAUGGCAGCAUGGAGUUGCUAGUAUUAUAUAUGGCACUAUGGAGCUACAAAAUAUGUGGUCUUCGACAAAGGCAAGCACAGGAAAGCAUGGAGGAUGAAUUUUUGUAAAUUAUAUGGAAUGUUAGAUGUAAAACAUUUGUAUAUUAUGGCACUAUUUUUCUUUUGAA